GAAGUGUUAUAGCCUCUGGUAGAUGUGAUGACAGAGAUUGAGGAUUGCAACGAAUACCCUCAGGGCUACCUGCCUGGCCUCUGGUCGUCGCUUUGGUGCCGAAAGCGUGCUUAUGGUAUUAAAGUAGGUGGUCAAAAGGUUAGAACGGGUUAAAUUCGUUAAGGAUGUUGACUUAAUGACUUUAAACGA
Molecule: ribosomal RNA, 189 nt
Filed under: Glomus sp.
Lineage: Eukaryota; Fungi; Glomeromycota; Glomeromycetes; Glomerales; Glomeraceae
Description: partial large subunit ribosomal RNA
Source: RNAcentral